GAUGAACGCUGGCGGCGUGCUUAACACAUGCAAGUCGAACGGUGAAAGAGAGCUUGCUCUCUGGAUCAGUGGCGAACGGGUGAGUAACACGUGAGCAAUCUGCCCCUGACUCUGGGAUAAGCGCUGGAAACGGCGUCUAAUACCGGAUACGAGCUGCGAAGGCAUCUUCAGCAGCUGGAAAGAACUUCGGUCAGGGAUGAGCUCGCGGCCUAUCAGCUAGUUGGUGAGGUAACGGCUCACCAAGGCGUCGACGGGUAGCCGGCCUGAGAGGGUGACCGGCCACACUGGGACUGAGACACGGCCCAGACUCCUACGGGAGGCAGCAGUGGGAAAUAUUGCACAAUGGGCGAAAGCCUGAUGCAGCAACGCCGCGUGAGGGACGACGGCCUUCGGGUUGUAAACCUCUUUUAGCAGGGAAGAAGCGAAAGUGACGGUACCUGCAGAAAAAGCACCGGCUAACUACGUG
RNAcentral lists this ribosomal RNA (466 nucleotides) under uncultured bacterium. RNAcentral's name for it is "partial 16S ribosomal RNA". It matches the Rfam family "Bacterial small subunit ribosomal RNA", at positions 28 to 507 of the family's 1533-position model. The record is from RNAcentral.